Molecule: unclassified non-coding RNA, 305 nt
Filed under: air metagenome
Description: partial contains small subunit ribosomal RNA, internal transcribed spacer 1, and 5.8S ribosomal RNA
Rfam family: Eukaryotic small subunit ribosomal RNA (bases 1-46)
Source: RNAcentral
AAGUCGUAACAAGGUUUCCGUAGGUGAACCUGCGGAAGGAUCAUUAUUGAAUAAACUUGGUCGGGUUGCUGCUGGCUUUUCGGAGCAUGUGCACGCCUGCCACCAUUUUUACCACCUGUGCACUCUUUGUAGAUCUAGAAUAUCUCUCGAGGAAACUCGGUUUGAGAGAUGCUGUGCGCAAGCCAGCUUCUCUUGCAUUCUAGGUCUAUGUAUUUAUUAUACCCCAUACUAUAUUUCAGAAUGUCAUUAAUGGGCCUUGUGCCUUUAAAUUAAUACAACUUUCAACAACGGAUCUCUUGGCUCUC